GAUGAAGAACGUAGCGAAAUGCGAAAAGUAGUGUGAAUUGCAGAAUUCAGUGAAUCAUCGAAUCUUUGAACGCACAUUGCGCCCCUUGGUAUUCCGAGGGGCAUGCCUGUUCGAGCGUCAUUUGACCAAUCAAGCCUGGCUUGGUAUUGGGGCUCGCUCUCCAGCGUCCUCUAAACACAGUGGCGGUGCCGUUAGGCUCUAAGCGUAGUAAUUCUUCUCGCUAUAGGGUCUUGCGGUUGCUUGCCAUAACCCAAAUUUUUAAGGUUGACCUCGGAUCAGGUAGGGAUACCCGCUGAACUUAAGCAUAUCAAUAAGCGGAGGA
This 322-nucleotide unclassified non-coding RNA is filed under the name soil metagenome. RNAcentral's name for it is "partial contains 5.8S ribosomal RNA, internal transcribed spacer 2, and large subunit ribosomal RNA". The stretch from base 1 to 120 matches the Rfam family "5.8S ribosomal RNA", at positions 35 to 154 of the family's 154-position model. The record is from RNAcentral.